RNAcentral lists this ribosomal RNA (492 nucleotides) under uncultured bacterium. RNAcentral's name for it is "partial 16S ribosomal RNA". It matches the Rfam family "Bacterial small subunit ribosomal RNA", at positions 29 to 507 of the family's 1533-position model. The record is from RNAcentral.
AGUGAACGCUGGCGGUAGGCCUAACACAUGCAAGUCGAACGGCAGCACAGUAAGAGUUUGCUCUUACGGGUGGCGAGUGGCGGACGGGUGAGGAAUACAUCGGAAUCUACUUUUUCGUGGGGGAUAACGUAGGGAAACUUACGCUAAUACCGCAUACGACCUACGGGUGAAAGCAGGGGAUCUUCGGACCUUGCGCGAUUGAAUGAGCCGAUGUCGGAUUAGCUAGUUGGCGGGGUAAAGGCCCACCAAGGCGACGAUACGUAGCUGGUCUGAGAGGAUGAUCAGCCACACUGGAACUGAGACACGGUCCAGACUCCUACGGGAGGCAGCAGUGGGGAAUAUUGGACAAUGGGCGCAAGCCUGAUCCAGCCAUACCGCGUGGGUGAAGAAGGCCUUCGGGUUGUAAAGCCCUUUUGUUGGGAAAGAAAAGCAGCAGGUUAAUACCCCGCUGUUCUGACGGUACCCAAAGAAUAAGCACCGGCUAACUUCGUG